Molecule: long non-coding RNA, 1671 nt
Organism: Bos taurus (domestic cattle)
Lineage: Eukaryota; Metazoa; Chordata; Mammalia; Artiodactyla; Bovidae
Source: Ensembl
ACCCACACACACCCACCCACCCACCCACCCCCGCCCCUCCCAACCCUGCACCCAGUGUACAAGUUCUGGGCUUCCCUCUUUUCUAGCUGCAAGGUCAGAGCAGGUCUGGGGCGGUGGGCUGGAGGGUGGGGGGAGUUCAUCGGCCCAGGCUCUGCCACCUCACAUCAUCAUGGGUGACAGGAUCCAAUAUGUGGGCGUACAGAUUAGCCGGGCCGUCCAUCUGGAUGUUUCCUAGAUGCUCAGAUGGGGGCUAACCUGCCAUUAACCAGAAACAAGCACAUCCCGCGACUGGCUGACUUUUCUCCUUCCACCCAGGUGUUGGCAGUCCUCUAGGUGAACAGAAAGGGACUGCAGGCUCCACGACGCUGCUCUGCUGUGACGCCAGCUCUGGAGGGGACAGCAGCAUCAGAGCCACAAACCCUCUGACAGCCCCAGCACGUGCCGUCUGUUAAUACACUGAGAGCCGGCGGUGCUCAGGAGUGUCGCCGCCUUGCAGACAAGGUGGAGGUGGUGGUUGUUAAGUCGCUCAAUCGUGUCCAACUCUGCGACCCCACGGACUGCCGCACAUCAGGCUUCCCUGACCUUCAGCAUCUCCCCGAGCUGGCUCAAAUUCAUAUCCACUGAGUCGGUGAUGCCAUCCAACCGUCUCGUCCUCUGUCCUCCCCUUCUCCUUCUGCUUUCGAUCUUUCCCAGCAUCAGGGUCUUUUCCAUUGAGCCAGCUCUUUGCAUCAGGUGGCUAAAGUACUGAAGCUUGGAGAGAUUAGACACUCCAGUUGAGACCGGCUGCGUGCAAACUCCUGGGAGCCGUGCGGUGUGGAAAGGCUUUUGCCCUCUGAAAUCCAGGAGGCGGCCUCUGCAUUUGCUCUGUGACCUUAAUCUGCCCUGCGACCUCUCGGAGCCCUCCCUCCCUCAAUGAACAGAUGAACGAUGGAAAUCCAUCCCAGGGGGGAAGAAGACUCCAGCAGAAAGGCAGAGAUGGCUGGAGAAAGACCACUCUCAAGGAAGCUUCCCACCUCCCAACAUUAGUUCUGUGACAGUGGCCCCAAAUUAGCUGCCCUAAUCCUACUCCACCGGGCAUCACCCCACUUGCAUGACUGUUGCCUCCUGGAGAAAACAAAAUAAAUCAGGGAGUGGGUUUCAGUGUGUUGGGGGGGUGGGGGUUGCUGCAGGAGGAAGUGAGGGAGGGAAUGGGUGUAUUAUUUUUUUUUGGUAAAAGAAAAAAUUUCUAAGGUUCUCCCAAACUUGUUUGGACAUAUGUGUAUACAGAUUAAGCUUGUCUUUAAAGAACAGAGAAGUACAUCCACGGGAAAUGAAUUAUCCGUCUCUGUCUCUAUGUCUGGAAUAGCACUGCCAUCUAGCAGGUGCUUGGCAGUGGUUUGUGAAGGUUUCUGCGCUGUGAUCCCUGUUUCAGCUGGUGGCAUCAGCAAGGUACCCUUGACUCCUCUGUCUUCUCAUCUUCAUCCCUCAGCCAGCCACCAAGCCUGCCAACGUGUUUCUCACAUCCAUUCCCUUCUGUGCCGGUCCUGCCUUGGUUCAGUCCUUCCAUAGACUGUUGCCUGGACUAUCACAUCUGUCUCCUGGUUGGUCCUCCUUUCUCCAGCCUCUCCCGUCUGAUCCGUCCUCCACACUGUUGCAGAUCUGAUUAGACCCCUUCCUGCUGGAUAACUGUCC